GAUGAACGCUGGCGGCGUGCCUAAUACAUGCAAGUCGAGCGAACAGAUGAGGAGCUUGCUCCUCUGACGUUAGCGGCGGACGGGUGAGUAACACGUGGAUAACCUACCUAUAAGACUGGGAUAACUUCGGGAAACCGGAGCUAAUACCGGAUAAUAUAUUGAACCGCAUGGUUCAAUAGUGAAAGACGGUUUUGCUGUCACUUAUAGAUGGAUCCGCGCCGCAUUAGCUAGUUGGUAAGGUAACGGCUUACCAAGGCAACGAUGCGUAGCCGACCUGAGAGGGUGAUCGGCCACACUGGAACUGAGACACGGUCCAGACUCCUACGGGAGGCAGCAGUAGGGAAUCUUCCGCAAUGGGCGAAAGCCUGACGGAGCAACGCCGCGUGAGUGAUGAAGGUCUUCGGAUCGUAAAACUCUGUUAUUGGGGAAGAACAAAUGUGUAAGUAAAUAUGCACGUCUUGACGGUACCUAAUCAGAAAGCAACGGCUAACUACGUG
RNAcentral lists this ribosomal RNA (497 nucleotides) under uncultured bacterium. RNAcentral describes it as "partial 16S ribosomal RNA". It matches the Rfam family "Bacterial small subunit ribosomal RNA", at positions 28 to 507 of the family's 1533-position model. The record is from RNAcentral.